This 164-nucleotide long non-coding RNA is filed under the name Mustela putorius furo (domestic ferret). RNAcentral describes it as "lncRNA (ENSMPUG00000027927.1)". Lineage: Eukaryota; Metazoa; Chordata; Mammalia; Carnivora; Mustelidae. The record is from RNAcentral.
AGAAGCUGCCAGUCCACUGAAAAACUGAGCAUGCACACUGUUUCAGAAAAGUGGAUCCAGCAUUUCAAAUUUCCCAAGUGACUGUGAGAAACAACUCAGUGGUGGAGGAGACUCAAAGGAGAAUGUGAACUUGCAGUUUAAAAUUAAAAACAAAAUGAUAAUCC